UACGAAGGGGGCUAGCGUUGUUCGGAAUUACUGGGCGUAAAGCGCGCGCAGGCGGCUAUCCAAGUCAGUGGUGAAAGCCCGGAGCUCAACUCCGGAACUGCCAUUGAAACUGUUUAGCUUGAGGAUGAGAGAGGUGAGUGGAAUUCCCAGUGUAGAGGUGAAAUUCGUAGAUAUUGGGAAGAACACCGGUGGCGAAGGCGGCUCACUGGCUCGUAUCUGACGCUCAGGCGCGACAGCGUGGGGAUCAAACAGG
RNAcentral lists this ribosomal RNA (253 nucleotides) under uncultured bacterium. RNAcentral describes it as "partial 16S ribosomal RNA". It matches the Rfam family "Bacterial small subunit ribosomal RNA", at positions 524 to 776 of the family's 1533-position model. The record is from RNAcentral.